GAGUUUGAACCUGGCUCAGGACGAACGCUGGCGGCGUGCCUAAUACAUGCAAGUCGAGCGGACAGAUGGGAGCUUGCUCCCUGAUGUUAGCGGCGGACGGGUGAGUAACACGUGGGUAACCUGCCUGUAAGACUGGGAUAACUCCGGGAAACCGGGGCUAAUACCGGAUGCUUGUUUGAACCGCAUGGUUCAAACAUAAAAGGUGGCUUCGGCUACCACUUACAGAUGGACCCGCGGCGCAUUAGCUAGUUGGUGAGGUAAUGGCUCACCAAGGCGACGAUGCGUAGCCGACCUGAGAGGGUGAUCGGCCACACUGGGACUGAGACACGGCCCAGACUCCUACGGGAGGCAGCAGUAGGGAAUCUUCCGCAAUGGACGAAAGUCUGACGGAGCAACGCCGCGUGAGUGAUGAAGGUUUUCGGAUCGUAAAGCUCUGUUGUUAGGGAAGAACAAGUACCGUUCGAAUAGGGCGGUACCUUGACGGUACCUAACCAGAAAGCCACGGCUAACUACGUGCCAGCAGCCGCGGUAAUACGUAGGUGGCAAGCGUUGUCCGGAAUUAUUGGGCGUAAAGGGCUCGCAGGCGGUUUCUUAAGUCUGAUGUGAAAGCCCCCGGCUCAACCGGGGAGGGUCACUGGAAACUGGGGAACUUGAGUGCAGA
RNAcentral lists this ribosomal RNA (661 nucleotides) under uncultured bacterium. RNAcentral describes it as "bacterial SSU rRNA". It matches the Rfam family "Bacterial small subunit ribosomal RNA", at positions 9 to 652 of the family's 1533-position model. The record is from RNAcentral.